RNAcentral lists this long non-coding RNA (290 nucleotides) under Zea mays. RNAcentral's name for it is "long non-coding RNA (ZMAY_LNC005156)". The record is from RNAcentral. Lineage: Eukaryota; Viridiplantae; Streptophyta; Magnoliopsida; Poales; Poaceae.
GCAAAUUCCACUCGCCCGUCACACCAUAUUGCCUAUGGCACUACAGCACAAAGUUCAUCUAUGGUCCAGUGAUACCGUCAAUUAUGGGGCUCAUCAUUUGAGCAGAUAACAGGUCUUCCCUUUUCUUUCCCACUUCUUUUUAACAUCCGAACUCCAUCCAAAAGAUUACAGGCACCUCUGAGAUCUACGGUGCAAAUGAGCUCGGCUGAGCAAAGUACACAAAACACUCAGGGGCAUACCUACAAAAACUCUUCGACAAAGGAAUCUGAUGCAGUGCUAUAAUUCUUUUC